RNAcentral lists this ribosomal RNA (253 nucleotides) under uncultured prokaryote. RNAcentral describes it as "partial 16S ribosomal RNA". It matches the Rfam family "Bacterial small subunit ribosomal RNA", at positions 525 to 777 of the family's 1533-position model. The record is from RNAcentral.
ACAGAGGGUGCGAGCGUUAAUCGGAAUUACUGGGCGUAAAGCGUGCGUAGGCGGUUUGUUAAGUCUGUCGUGAAAGCCCUGGGCUCAACCUGGGAAUUGCGAUGGAUACUGGUAAGCUAGAGUACGGUAGAGGAUGGUGGAAUUCCCGGUGUAGCGGUGAAAUGCGUAGAGAUCGGGAGGAACACCCGUGGCGAAGGCGGCCAUCUGGACCAGUACUGACGCUGAGGCACGAAAGCGUGGGGAGCAAACAGGA